Molecule: ribosomal RNA, 420 nt
Filed under: bacterium
Lineage: Bacteria
Description: partial 16S ribosomal RNA
Rfam family: Bacterial small subunit ribosomal RNA
Source: RNAcentral
UGGGGGAUAUUGCACAAUGGGCGAAAGCCUGAUGCAGCGACGCCGCGUGGGGGAUGAAGGCUUUCGGGUUGUAAACCUCUUUCGCUAUCGAACAAGGCCCGCUUAGAGUGGGUUGAGGGUAGGUGGAGAAGAAGCGCCGGCUAACUACGUGCCAGCAGCCGCGGUAAUACGUAGGGCGCGAGCGUUGUCCGGAAUUAUUGGGCGUAAAGGGCUUGUAGGCGGCUUGUUGCGCCUGCUGUGAAAACGCGGGGCUUAACUUCGCGCGUGCAGUGGGUACGGGCAGGCUUGAGUGUGGUAGGGGUGACUGGAAUUCCAGGUGUAGCGGUGGAAUGCGCAGAUAUCUGGAGGAACACCGAUGGCGAAGGCAGGUCACUGGGCCAUUACUGACGCUGAGGAGCGAAAGCAUGGGUAGCGAACAGG